RNAcentral lists this long non-coding RNA (2806 nucleotides) under Olea europaea subsp. europaea. The record is from RNAcentral. Lineage: Eukaryota; Viridiplantae; Streptophyta; Magnoliopsida; Lamiales; Oleaceae.
CCACUUUCGGCUCACUACUGGUGCCCAUAGCUUCUGUACUAAAAGGCUGAAAACAAAAACAGAGCACUAUACUAUGCAAAUUUUCGACUACACUAAAUUCUAAACUAGAAUUCAACUAAAAGCGUAAUUUCAAGAAAGGCAUAGGAAUCAACAGCAUUUUACUAAUCGCAACUAUUAACACACAGUUGCAGAGACUUUAGUACAAGAAUUGUCUUCGUUUAGCAUCAAACAGCAAGAAAUCGAAGGGUAUUACAACAAAGCGAAAGAUAACGACAAAACAGAAGAUGUACGAAGCCUUGAUGAUGACAAUAACUUCAAGGUCAACGUUUAGUCCUCCAGAAUUUGUUGUUGCUCAAGCUCAAUGAUGUUUUCGGUCAUUGAGCUAACAGUGCCAUUAAUGGUCUCGUUAGUACACUGGCACAGAUGUAAUUGUUCCUUAAGACUCUGCACGAGCUCAUUGAGUCUCUGGAUGUUCUUCUCUUGUGACAAGAUAAUCUGCUCGAGUAGAUAAUAUAGGACAAAACUUGUUUAUGUUCACUAAGCUUAGAAAUAAAUAAAAGUUACUCAAGUCACGCUAAAAAGUCAGGGAAAGAUUCAUCCAGUAACAUGCUUCAGGUAAAAAAUCAUUUUUAGUUCCUCUCGUGAAUCAAAGCCAUUUAAAUAUCCAACCCGUGUCGCCCUUGAUAUGUUGGUUUAUCCUUUAAUUUUUUCAAAACCUAGUAAAGAUGCUCGAUCCAAAUCCUACCCUUUUCAACUAAUAUUUUCUUAAUUGUUCUUUUUACUUCUAUGGUCAGGAGCCUGAAACAUUACACGCGCAUUUCUCAGUACACUUCAUGGUUAUAGUUCCACCAAAAUUCCUUGGGAUAUGUUACCCGAGCAAGAUUCUACAAUUGUAAGUGCAACAGGACCUUGUCUUGGGGGACUACAGCAUUUUGGCUAAGCUUCUAAGUGCUUGUUUAGCAGGGCUUUUGAAAAGCCAAAAACUGCAUCUGAGACUAAGAAGACGGUUCUGGAUUUGUUUGGAUAAUUUCUUGGAAGUUAUUUGAUGAGAAGAACUUUUAGAGGAAGCUGAUCCAAGAUAGCAUCACUAGGAAGCUCUUCCAUACAAAACAGAAGUCCUACCAAACAGACCUUAAAUGAUUUUUCGUUCCCAGACAUUUUCGGAAAAGUUUUCUUAAUAUAUGUAAAUAGGUUGCUCAUUUUGAUAAUAAAGUAAGAGUUCAUUUCAUAUAAAUAACUACUUAUUUUCAACUUUGACCAACAAAAUAUUUAAUUUAUUUUCAAACUUACCUAUUGUAGACUUUUUAAGCUUAGCCAAACAUUCACACGUCAAACAUAACAGAGGUGAUCUGCUGCUCACCAAAUAAGACCUUCCUAAUUCAGGAAUGACAUAAUAAGACCUUCCUAAUUCCAAACUCGGGCACCAACUUUAUACUAAAGCCAAUAAUGAUUGCAAUAACUGCUGGGGAUAUGAGAUAUUCAGUUAUGCCUCUAUCAUGUCAUUUAAAUAGCGGCAAACCAUGAUACUCGAUCUGUCCCAAAAGGACAGUUUUGCUAAUACGGUAGCAUCAUUAUUCAACCCUAUUUCAUUUGAACAUAACUGUAUUUAUUACAACUAAUCUAUAAAUGGAAGGUGUAAUACAAGAGGAAUGUUGAUAUGUGAAAGUGUCAAUUGCUAACAAGCACUAACUGAUUUAUAUUACAACAAACAACAAGCCAAGUAUAAGUUUCGGAUUGGAUUCUGCCACAAUGCCACUCCUUUCUAUAUAUCAAAUGAAACCCUUCACAACCAUAUAAAGCCGUGUGUCUGAGGACAAAGAAUAUAUUAUUGUACAAAACCCAGUUCAAUACUUUUUACUCUCUACAGUCAGACGAACCUGCUACUCUUCUUCCUAUGUUUAAGUGGCUCACUAAACACAGAGGCCUUACCCUUUAUGCUUCUUGAUAGUUCUGAAGCAUUAAUAUAAAGAUACAUUUAUUGCAAUUUUUCUAAGCUGCUUUAUGUCAAUCAAGAAUUGCUGAUCUCUCUGCUGUAAAACCAUUUGUGAGCAUUCCUCUCUCUUAUGUUACUCCUCCAUAAAACACCACACUUAUCAAGUGUCCUAAAUCCUACUGCAAUAUUAUGGAACAGUUUAAAAGUAUGAUCAACAUUUACAGAUCAACCAAAUGUUAACAAAUGCUCAUACAUAAGAUACAUCUAGUACCAGGAGGACGUGCUCCUUGUAGGGAAUGUCAAUGAAUUAGGAAAGGAGCAUCAAUGGAAUUUUAUAGCUUAGAACAUCACAGCUAUAUAUAUAGAGCAUCUUUUAUCAUAAAGUGGAUUCGUAGAAGACUUCUUAAUAUUUUAGAUACUCAAUCUUUAUCCUCAGAAGAACUCUCUACCCCAUUGGUUACAUUGAAUACCAAGGAAUAAAAAAUUAAAUUAAAUUAAAUUAAAAAAAAAAAAAGUUAAAAUGAAGAUAACAUCCUGAAAAGAAGCAGAUGUUCUAAAAUGAAGUUCCUUAUAUUUGCAAUAAAAAAUAUAUAUAUAUAUUAACAGAAAAAGUGAGUGAUGCAUGGUACCACAAUGGUUUAAGACAUUGCCAAAUUUGUCAGCACUUAAUGCAAAUUCAAGACAUACGCCUUUUGAAACAUUCAUUUUACAACAUUAUCUAAACCAAUGUAGUCUGCAAGUAAAGUACAGUAGGCAUUUGGUUAUAAUAAGCCCUUUUUCUUCUCGUGAACCAUGGAGCACCUAGCCCAGAAACUCUCAUCAAAUACAUACAUGUAUUCUUGAACAUUUUUUUUUCUUUUGUUCUUUUUUUUU